This 58-nucleotide transfer RNA is filed under the name Saccharomyces cerevisiae YJM1419. Its description in RNAcentral is "tRNA-Thr". It matches the Rfam family "tRNA", at positions 1 to 56 of the family's 71-position model. Rfam says of the family: Transfer RNA (tRNA) molecules are approximately 80 nucleotides in length. Their secondary structure includes four short double-helical elements and three loops (D, anti-codon, and T loops). Lineage: Eukaryota; Fungi; Ascomycota; Saccharomycetes; Saccharomycetales; Saccharomycetaceae. The record is from RNAcentral.
GCUUCUAUGGCCAAGUUGGUAAGGCGCCACACUAGUAAUGUGGAGAUCAUCGGUUCAA